CUCCUCCCAAGCUGCUUCAGGCUGCUGCCAUGGCCAGCAGAAGUUAAUUCUGGGAGCCCAUGAGAGUGUGAGGGUACAGGAAUCCUUGGAUGAGGAGAGCUGGGUACUGACAGAUUCCAUUCAGAGACCAUGCCCUCCAGAAAUAGACCUGUUAACAAGAACCAAGUCUGACUGAACACCAGAGAGCAAACAGCACGGUCAUCUGAUUGGUCUUCAUGCAUUGCCACAGAAGCUUGGUGAUGGUCUACGCCCAUUGCUGUGAAGAACUUGGGGGCUGAAGCGGGGGCAGGGCCUCUUCCAGGCAGGCCAGCCCAGAGGCUGCACAUCUGUUUUCAAGUGAGCUGGCUACCAUGAAGUACAAACUGUCAGGAAACGCCUCGGGGACGAGCCGAGCCCAGGAAGUCACGGAAAUCCCCGGCCGGCCGCCUGCCACCGAAUGAGAAGGAAGUGGUGUGGUUUGCCCCUCGGAGUUCCCCAGCCGGGGAGGAAAGCACCGCGGGCCUGCGCGGGAGGGCGAGCCUGGGCGGGGCAGGGUGAGGCGGGUGGUGGGCGCGGUCCGCCUGGACGAUUUAAAGGCGUCGUGACACUCAGCCAACCCCAUAGACCGGGCGACAGGUGCCACCCCAGAGAUCGGAGGUCCCUGCGGGCGUGCAGAGCCUGAGGAGCGGGCUGCGGUGAGUACGCGCGCGCGCGCGCGCGCGCGCGCGGAGAGCGAGUGAGCGUCCCUGGGGUGGCUCGAGGGUCGCCAGGGUGGCUGGAUCUCAGGCCUGCAAAAAACGGCUGCUGUGCACCUCUGGUCCUGCCCACUGGCCCUGGCUGCCCAGAGGCAGCUGGGAGACUUGAGACUGUGAGAACCUGGGCUUGGGGAAGCUUGAGCAUGGGAGUGGUUGUUUUCUUAGUAAUCAGCCUGGAAGUACACUAGGACUCUUUCUUUUGGGGGAGGGAUAGGUGUUGGAGACCACUCGCACACUAUAGGUAGGUCCCAGUGGCUUUGAACUCUGGAAAAUCCUCCUGCCUUAACCCCUUGAGUGACGGACUUACAGGUCUGAGUCACUGCACCCAGUUUCUCAGUAGUGCUCUUAAUCUAGUCAGGAAAUGGCUGUGGUCAUUUCUCUGUCUACUACAUGCCAGGGUCUGCCCUAAAGACUUAUGUCACCAACUGUACACUUAAUCACCAAUUGUAAGCAGUGGGCACCGUUAUUAACUCCAUUCUGCAACGACAAAACUGAGGUACUUGUGGUUUUUCUGGGCUUCACUGUGUAUCCCUGACUGGCCUGGAACUGUGUAAGUAGAACAGGAUGGCUUUGAACUCAAGGCAACUUUGAUAUCUACCUGCCUCUGCUUCCGGAGUGCUGGGAUUAAAGGUAUGUCUGGUCUCCUGGUUGUUUCCUUUGUAAAAAGGGACUGACACCCGUCCUAUGAUAUGUGACUUAAUAAAUGAAGGUGCUAUGGACAUGAUGAGCCCUGUCAACUGUGCUAAGAAAUUCAACAAGAAGUUUUGCUGCGAUUAGUAGUGCAGGCCUGUAGUUGUGGUACUUGGGAGUUCAAUGCCAGUCUGGGGUAUAUGUCUCACACGACAGUUACAAGGCUCAGUGUCUUUGCUCGGCCUGUGACUGUGGCUACUACAGAAACUAAAGUAUACUUCCUCUUCUGAAGGAGAAAUAGUCCAAGGUGGAGGGAGAAAGACACAUUUACCCUGCAGUGUCAUACAGCCACCCUUGAGGUCUACAGGAAACGGUAGAGUAAGCAGAGAAGAGACCGGGUUGCCAAGCUGACCCGCAAGGAACCACUGUGAGGGACAGAGGACUCCUACAUACUGAUGUGGACAGGGGCGGGGAUCAGGACAGGUCUAAGAGGAAGUAGGUCCCAGUGGCAGAUGGCAACACUUCCUGUGGAUUUGAUGUUAUGAAUAUGGAGUGUUUGAGGGGUGCUGGCACACAGAAUAUCUGGUUGUGUGGAGAUGUGAUUCACAGGCAAAUGUUCUUUAGGCUUGGUUGGGAGGACCUGACCCGGGAGAAGCUAGAAUAAAAAGCGGUCUUUGAGGUGGUCUUCAUUUGGAAGUUGAGAGGGACUCAGCAUAAGGACUGUGGCGGGACUAGGGUUGUGCAGUGUUUGAGGAGACGUGAGGCAGAGUCUAGUCAAAGCAGUAGGAGAGAGUGGCUCCAUGAGGGGGUAGUUGUUUCUCUGAGGCUGCCAAAAGGCUUGAGACCACAGGCAGGCAGGGGCUGCACCUCUUUUUGAAGAACACAGUUAACUGAGUGAAUGUGGCAAAGAGAGAUUGGAGGAAGGGGCCGAGGCAUGGAGGUAUGUUAGGAUGUAAAGAAAACAAACCCUCUGUUGCUGGGAAGGUGUCUAUGGAAACCAGUGUAGCAUCUCAGAAAACUAAACACUGAACUGCCAUAUGACCCAGCUUUCCCACUCCUUGAUAGGUACAUGGAGGAGUUUAAGACAGCUUGGGAGAAAUUCCUGACUACCCUGUGUCUUAGUCACUGUUCUGUCACUGUGAGGAGACAUGACCAAGACAACUUAUAAAAGAAAGCUUUCACUGGAGGCUUGCUUAUGGUGUCAGAGGCCCACUCCACGAUCAUCAUGAUGGAGCAUGGCAGUUUGCAGGAAGGGACGGUGCUGGAGCAGUAGCUGAGAGAGAGCUACAUCCUGAUCCACAAGCAGCAGGCAGAGGGAAAGCCUGGGCCUGGUGUGGGCUUUUAAAACCUCAAAGCCGACCUCUAGUGACACACCUCCUCCAAUAAGGACACACCUCCUAAUCUUUCCUAAACACUCCACCAACUUGGGACUAAACAGUCAGAUAUAUGAGCGUAUGGGGGCCAUUCUCAUUCAACCCCCCACACUGUUUAUUGUAUCACUAUUCACAACGGGACAGAUUGAAUGCCUGUUAACAGAUAAACGGAUGAAGAAAAUGUGUUUGUGUGUGUGUACACUGGAGUACUAUUCAAUUGUAAAGAGAAAGGUAUAAGCCCUUCAUUAGUAAUUCUAAUAAAGACAAUUAGAAUCUGAGUUGGUGGCUCAUGCCUGUAACCUCAGAACUCAGGAGGUUCAGGCAGCAUACUACUGUUUGAGGCUAGUCUGGGUUACAGACUGAGUACCAAGCUAGCCCUAGCUGUAGCAUAUCUGUCUAAGACAAAACAAAAAAGGCACGUGAGAAGAGUAAAGUAUUAUGACUCUUGAAAUUACUGCAAAGAGCACUGGGGCUGGAGAGAUGGCCCAGUGCAGUCAGAAAUAAAAAGGAAUUUCUAGUUUUGUAAUUUCAUUAUUGUUAUAUAAGAUGUUAAUUUUGGGAAGCUGGGUGCAAAGUAUAUGUGACAUCUGCAAGUUUUUAUAUAUAUGCUCUGGUCUGUAACUCAUGAGUUCUGUGUGAGAUUUCUUGGCUGACAACACCCAGUGCAGCAUUGUUUUCUCAGAGUUGGGGACUGAGGUAGGAGUCUUGAGUAUGCUAUCUGAGUGCCCUACCACUGAGCCCCGCUGACAGCCCGAAUUAGCAUAGCUUCUUGCUACAGACCAGUUUCUGUUUUGUAUAAAGCAUCUUAAGGAAAAGAUCAUGGUGGCACUUGCUUAUAAUCCCAGGAUUUGGGAAACAGACAGGAAAAUCAUGAGUUUGAGGCUGUCUUAGACUACACAGGGAAAUCCCAGUCUCGAAAAAGAGGGAGUAGGGGGAGAAAGAAAAGAAAAAAGACAUUGUAUUAUAAACCUGAGUUGUUUGACUUUAAUUUCUCUAUUUUAAACAGGUUUACAAAGGACACAAACCCUUCUACUACUUGUAGCUUUUUUUCUGUUUUUUUUUUUUCUGUAAACCAAAACAUCUCAAAAUGGAGGCCUAAACCCCUUAAAGGGACUUAGUCUAAUCUUGGGAGGUAGUUUUGUGCAUGGACAGACAAAUUCAGCCCUCAGUUGACUUUCGGGACUGUUGUCUAAAGAUGCUCAUUUGAAGUCUGUAGUCUGAUUGUCUGAGGCGUUGAGUAUUAUGAUUUGGUUGUGAACUUGACUCUAGGAAGGGAAGGAGUUCUGUGGCUGGGCACAGUGAUGAAGCACUCUUCAGAAAGUUGCCUGGCAAUUUCCCACUGGCUGGCACUUUUUAAAAAGUGCCCACAUUCAAGAAAGAUCCAAACAUGAGUGCCGGCUAUCCAGAGGAAAUGAGUAAUCUGCUUUGCACAGUAGUACAGAAGUGUACUCAUGAGGUCACUGACACAUUCAAAGAUUGCAACAAUGACAGAGAACAAACAGGAACAAAAUGUUCUCGUAGGCACAGCAGAUUUAGAGGAAGUAAGACAGACACUACAAGAGAGUUGAGAAACUGUCCACCAUUGGUAUUUUAAAGGUCUACACAGCACAACUUUUAAAUAGACUGUAAGCAUGAGAGUUAUUUUGGCAGAUGAACUAGUUUAUUCAGAAAGAAAUGUCAUAGAACGACCAAGUUUUCAUAACCCUGUGGAGGGGACAGAGAGGUUAGACACAAUGAUUUCUCCUGAGAGAGACUCUUGUUGACAGCUGUGGGAUUUCUCCUGCCAUUUAGAGAUAAUGAGUUGGUGUCCUUGGUAGAGAACCUGCCAUAUCUGUGAACUGCAGGAAGCCACUCCAGCCAGUGGCAGCAAACCCCCAUGCCUUUACACAGGAUGAAUUUGCUAAUGGCUAGUGAGUCCUUCUAUGAGAGACUCUCAAUUUGAAGGUCUCUGUGUUCAGAUGGUAAUAGACUUGUUUGUUUUGAUAAAUAUGUGCUCAGGGAACACACUCUGUGACAUAAUUUCUGAGUUUGGGUCUCAAGCCUACAUUCGUGGCCCACACCAUUAAAUCCCAGCACUCAGAAGGCAGAGGCAGACUGAUUUCUGAGUUUGGGGUUGAGGCCAGCCUGGUCUACAGAGUGAGUUCUAAAACAGCCAGGACUACAUAGAGAAAUCCUGUUUUGAAAAAAUCAAAAAAAGAAGGAAGGAAGGAAGGGAGGGA
RNAcentral lists this long non-coding RNA (4956 nucleotides) under Cricetulus griseus (Chinese hamster). RNAcentral's name for it is "lncRNA (ENSCGRG00015040322.1)". Lineage: Eukaryota; Metazoa; Chordata; Mammalia; Rodentia; Cricetidae. The record is from RNAcentral.